GAAAUGCGAUAAGUGAUGUGAAUAGCAGAAUUCAGUGAAUCAUCGAAGCUUUGAACGCACCUAGCGCCUUUCUGUAUUCCGAAAGGCGUGCCUCUUUGAGUGUCAUGAAAUCUCAAUCCCCCCGGGUUUUCUGAACCCGAGGUGGACUUGGACAUGCGUGUCUGCCGUCUCGUACGGCUCGCCUUAAAUGACUCAGUGGGAUCUUCAGCAUCCGUGGCAGACGUAAUAAGUUUCGUCUCGUCCCUUGCUAUGAGGACCGCUCAUAAGCUGCCAUCGCGCACCACUUUUGACUCUGACCUCAAAUCAGGUAGGACUACCCGCUUAACUUAA
RNAcentral lists this unclassified non-coding RNA (330 nucleotides) under uncultured Tremellaceae. Its description in RNAcentral is "sequence contains ITS1". The stretch from base 1 to 105 matches the Rfam family "5.8S ribosomal RNA", at positions 50 to 154 of the family's 154-position model. Lineage: Eukaryota; Fungi; Basidiomycota; Tremellomycetes; Tremellales; Tremellaceae. The record is from RNAcentral.